UACGUAGGGGGCAAGCGUUGUCCGGAUUUACUGGGCGUAAAGCGCGUGUAGGCGGCUAUGCAAGUCGGGUGUGAAAUCCCACGGCUCAACCGUGGAAGUGCACUCGAAACUACGUAGCUGGAGUUCUGGAGAGGAAGGUGGAAUGCUCGGUGUAGAGGUGAAAUUCGUAGAUAUCGAGAGGAACACCGGUGGCGAAGGCGGCCUUCUGGACAGUGACUGACGCUGAGACGCGAAAGCGUGGGGAGCAAACAGG
This 253-nucleotide ribosomal RNA is filed under the name uncultured bacterium. RNAcentral describes it as "partial 16S ribosomal RNA". It matches the Rfam family "Bacterial small subunit ribosomal RNA", at positions 524 to 776 of the family's 1533-position model. The record is from RNAcentral.